GCAAGUCGAAGCGAGAAGGUUCCUUUUGCUUGCAUUAGGAGCCGGAAAGCGGCGAAAGGGAGAGUAACACGUAGAAACGUACCCCGAGGUUCGGGAUAGCGGCGGGAAACUGCCGGUAAUACUGGAUAAUGUCUUCGGACCAAAGUUUUUCGCCUCGGGAGCGGUCUGCGUCCUAUUAGGUUGUUGGUGGGGUAAUGGCCUACCAAGCCAAUGAUGGGUAGCGGGCGUGAGAGCGUGACCCGUCUCACUGGGACUGAGACACUGCCCAGACACCUACGGGUGGCUGCAGUCGAGAAUCUUCCGCAAUGGACGCAAGUCCGACGGAGCGAUGCCGCGUGCGGGAUGAAGGCCUUCGGGUUGUAAACCGCUGUCAGUGGGGAGGAAAUUUUGACCGAACCGCAGAGGAAGUCCGGGCUAAGUACGUGCCAGCAGCCGCGGUAACACGUACCGGACGAACGUUAUUCGGAAUCACUGGGCUUAAAGAGUGCGUAGGCGGCGUUGUAGGUGAGGUGUGAAAUCCCACGGCUCAACCGUGGAACUGCGCUUCAAACCACAAUGCUUGAGGGAGACAGGGGUGAGCGGAACUGAUGGUGGAGCGGUGAAAUGCGUUGAUAUCAUCAGGAACACCGGUGGCGAAGGCGGCUCACUGGGUCUCUUCUGACGCUGAGGCACGAA
This 675-nucleotide ribosomal RNA is filed under the name uncultured Planctomycetota bacterium. RNAcentral describes it as "bacterial SSU rRNA". It matches the Rfam family "Bacterial small subunit ribosomal RNA", at positions 57 to 757 of the family's 1533-position model. The record is from RNAcentral. Lineage: Bacteria; Pseudomonadati; Planctomycetota.